UCUUUCUUCUCUUUUCCUAAGAAGACCUCAUAGUCCAGAGAACUAAACUUGUCUUACUGGUUUGGCCCUCAGGAAAAGAUGAGGCAACAUCAAAAUAACUACGCGAAGAGUCCACAAACAUCACUGGAUGAGCAAUGCAAAAGCAGGGACAGGCAUGGCGAACACGGAUGCCUUGGUAAAGCCUCCCAAACAGUCCUUGCUAUCUUAAAGCAGCUGGAAGUGCCAUUACAUAGUCUGAGAUUUAUCGAGAAUCAUGAUUGCAGCAUAUCCCACUUGUCCAACUGAGUGCUGAGUGAAACCGA
RNAcentral lists this long non-coding RNA (302 nucleotides) under Chinchilla lanigera (long-tailed chinchilla). Its description in RNAcentral is "lncRNA (ENSCLAG00000023198.1)". Lineage: Eukaryota; Metazoa; Chordata; Mammalia; Rodentia; Chinchillidae. The record is from RNAcentral.